RNAcentral lists this long non-coding RNA (1047 nucleotides) under Salvia miltiorrhiza (redroot sage). The record is from RNAcentral. Lineage: Eukaryota; Viridiplantae; Streptophyta; Magnoliopsida; Lamiales; Lamiaceae.
AUGUAAAUGAAUAGCCAGAAAAAGUAAAGAUAGAAACCCUAUCUCAGUCUCAGCUGCGCCGCAUCUCUUUUUCUUUCGAUUUAACCUUAUUUUCUUCCGCCGACAUCUCCCCUCAUUAUAUUUCCUUGUAUAAAAUGAGUUUUGCAGUUUGGUUUGAGAUAUCUAAGCUUCACGAGAUGUCGAGAAGGCGGCAGCUGCUGCUUUCACGAAAUUGCUGAGCUCUCUGGUCAAGAUCCAGCCAUAUACACUGGUGCAUUUUAUCUGUUCGACGAAAUGGUUCAAAGGUAUGCUCCCAUAGAUUGCUUCUGCCGUUUGAAUAGAGCUGAUUUUGUAUUUGCUAUUUUAUGCAGUUUUUUCAAGCGUUGUUACGAAUCAAACGUGGUGGUGUUCACCAAGCUCCUCAAUGGGCUUUUUUUUGGCAGUGGAGAAGUUGUUGAGAGAGAAACUGCGUGAGUAUAAUGAAGUUACAUGUUGCAAAGCUGAGUAUAUUCCAUCGUGAUAGAUGGGCUAUGCAUCAGAUUGUAAUGUUUGAGUGGCUCGAGAAGAGGUUGGAUGCUCAUUCAACGAGCUAUGUUGAUUCCCAACAUAGUAACAUACAGAUUAAUCUCUUCGAACAAGACCUGGUAUCGCAAGUCGCUGGUGCAGGAAUCAGGGCCCAACUAUGCCAAUGAUGAAUGAUUUCUUGUGGAUAUGGCGUAUUCUUUUGUUGCAAACAUUCAAUUUUUUUUUUCGGAUUUGAUGCUCAACUCCGCGGAUUGACAAAUUGACAAAUUAGUGUCAGUUUCUUCCGGCACCUCCGGUAGGAGCAUACUUUUAAAAUAGUUGAGAUCGAUUAUUGAGAUAGUGUCAGUUUCUUCAAGAGGGAGUGUUUGAUGCAUUUGAGAUAGUGUCAGUUUCUUGAGGGAGGGAGUGUUUGAUGCUUCGAGAGGGAUUGUACAAUGAUAUAAUGUAGCAUUCAUAUUCUUAAUUAUGUUUUAGUUGAUUUUUAUGUUAUAUAAUGCUGAAACUGCGUUUAGUUGAAACUAAUGCAUUGCUAAGUUCUCAUUA